This 478-nucleotide ribosomal RNA is filed under the name uncultured bacterium. RNAcentral's name for it is "partial 16S ribosomal RNA". It matches the Rfam family "Bacterial small subunit ribosomal RNA", at positions 28 to 523 of the family's 1533-position model. The record is from RNAcentral.
GACGAACGCUGGCGGCGUGCUUAACACAUGCAAGUCGAACGGUAAGGCCCUUCGGGGUACACGAGUGGCGAACGGGUGAGUAACACGUGGGUGAUCUGCCCUGCACUUCGGGAUAAGCCUGGGAAACUGGGUCUAAUACCGGAUAGGACUCCUGGCUUCAUGGUUGGGGGUGGAAAGCUUUUGCGGUGUGGGAUGGGCCCGCGGCCUAUCAGCUUGUUGGUGGGGUAAUGGCCUACCAAGGCGACGACGGGUAGCCGGCCUGAGAGGGUGACCGGCCACACUGGGACUGAGAUACGGCCCAGACUCCUACGGGAGGCAGCAGUGGGGAAGAUUGCACAAUGGGCGCAAGCCUGAUGCAGCGACGCCGCGUGAGGGAUGACGGCCUUCGGGUUGUAAACCUCUUUCAGUAGGGACGAAGCGCAAGUGACGGUACCUACAGAAGAAGGACCGGCCAACUACGUGCCAGCCGCCGCGGUAA